CCUACGGGGGGCAGCAGUGGGGAAUAUUGGGCAAUGGGCGCAAGCCUGACCCAGCAAAGCCGCGUGAAGGAAGAAGGCUUUAGGGUUGGAAACUUCUAUUGACAGGGAAGAGGAGAAGACGGUACAUGUCGAAUAAGACACGGCUAACGACGAGCCAGCAGCCGCGGUAAUACGUAGGUGGCAAGCGUUGUCCGGAUUUACUGGGUGUAAAGGGCGGGUAGAGGGGUUGACAAGUCAGAUGUGAAAGCCUGCGGCGUAACCGAAGAACUGCAUUUGAAACUGUUGAUCUUGAGUACUGGAGAGGCAGCCGGAAUUCCUGGUGUAGCGGUGCAAUGCUUAGAUAUUACGAGGAACUCCAGUUGCGAAGGCGGUCUGCUGGACUGCACCUGACGGUGAGGCUCGAAAGCGUGGGUAGCAAACAGGAUUAGAUACCCUAGUAGUC
RNAcentral lists this ribosomal RNA (442 nucleotides) under uncultured bacterium. RNAcentral describes it as "partial 16S ribosomal RNA". It matches the Rfam family "Bacterial small subunit ribosomal RNA", at positions 338 to 795 of the family's 1533-position model. The record is from RNAcentral.